Molecule: ribosomal RNA, 301 nt
Filed under: uncultured bacterium
Lineage: Bacteria
Description: partial 16S ribosomal RNA
Rfam family: Bacterial small subunit ribosomal RNA
Source: RNAcentral
CAGUAGCCGCGGUAAUACGAAGGGUGCAAGCGUUAAUCGGAAUUACUGGGCGUAAAGCGUGCGUAGGCGGUCUGUUAAGUCUGCUGUGAAAUCCCCGGGCUCAACCUGGGAAUGGCAGUGGAUACUGGCAAGCUAGAGUGUGUCAGAGGAUGGUGGAAUUCCCGGUGUAGCGGUGAAAUGCGUAGAGAUCGGGAGGAACAUCAGUGGCGAAGGCGGCCAUCUGGGACAACACUGACGCUGAGGCACGAAAGCGUGGGGAGCAAACAGGAUUAGAUACCCGAGUAGUCCCUGUCUCUUAUAC